Molecule: ribosomal RNA, 468 nt
Filed under: uncultured bacterium
Lineage: Bacteria
Description: partial 16S ribosomal RNA
Rfam family: Bacterial small subunit ribosomal RNA
Source: RNAcentral
GACGAACGCUGGCGGCGUGCUUAACACAUGCAAGUCGAACGGAAAGGCCCUGCUUUUGUGGGGUGCUCGAGUGGCGAACGGGUGAGUAACACGUGAGUAACCUGCCCUUGACUUUGGGAUAACUUCAGGAAACUGGGGCUAAUACCGGAUACGAUCUCCUGCUGCAUGGUGGGGGUUGGAAAGUUUCGGCGGUUGGGGAUGGACUCGCGGCUUAUCAGCUUGUUGGUGGGGUAGUGGCUUACCAAGGCUUUGACGGGUAGCCGGCCUGAGAGGGUGACCGGCCACAUUGGGACUGAGAUACGGACCAGACGCCUACGGGAGGCAGCAGGGGGGAAUAUUGCACAAUGGGCGGAAGCCUGAUGCAGCAACGCCGCGUGCGGGAUGACGGCCUUCGGGUUGUAAACCGCUUUCGCCUGUGACGAAGCGUGAGUGACGGUAAUGGGUAAAGAAGCACCGGCUAACUACGUG